This 434-nucleotide ribosomal RNA is filed under the name uncultured bacterium. RNAcentral's name for it is "bacterial SSU rRNA". It matches the Rfam family "Bacterial small subunit ribosomal RNA", at positions 30 to 478 of the family's 1533-position model. The record is from RNAcentral.
AUUGAACGCUGGCGGCAUGCCUUACACAUGCAAGUCGAACGGCAGCACGGGAGCAAUCCUGGUGGCGAGUGGCGAACGGGUGAGUAAUAUAUCGGAACGUGCCCAGUCGUGGGGAUAACGUAGCGAAAGCUACGCUAAUACCGCAUACGAUCUAUGGAUGAAAGCGGGGGAUCGCAAGACCUCGCGCGAUUGGAGCGGCCGAUAUCAGAUUAGGUAGUUGGUGAGGUAAAGGCUCACCAAGCCGACGAUCUGUAGCUGGUCUGAGAGGACGACCAGCCACACUGGGACUGAGACGCGGCCCAGACUCCUACGGGAGGCAGCAGUGGGGAAUUUUUGGACAAUGGGCGCAAGCCUGAUCCAGCAAUGCCGCGUGCAGGAUGGAAGGCCUUCGGGUUGGUUAAACUACGGUCUUUUGUACGGUAACGAAACGGUAG